Molecule: unclassified non-coding RNA, 259 nt
Filed under: Hevea brasiliensis (rubber tree)
Lineage: Eukaryota; Viridiplantae; Streptophyta; Magnoliopsida; Malpighiales; Euphorbiaceae
Source: RNAcentral
GGGCGCCUUAGCUUUCUUGGCAGCCACGGAUGAACCGGCGGCAGCGCCGACGCGUGUGACAGUAACGGAGGUGUUGAAGUACUCACGGACCUGGGUGAUCACCCCAUCAACAACGGUCCAGGCGUGGACCCACAGGAGGGAGCGGUCCCUUCCUUUGCCCUCGACGAUCACCGUAUCCGGUCCGAUGGACUCGACCGAGAGGGGGACGAACUCAAACUUGGAGUCUGAAGCGCCGGUGAGGAGGCGCAUCAUGUGCUGG